UACGUAGGGGGCUAGCGUUGCCCGGAAUUACUGGGCGUAAAGGGAGCGUAGGCGGCCAUUCAAGUCGGGGGUGAAAGCCUGUGGCUCAACCACAGAAUUGCCUUCGAUACUGUUUGGCUUGAGUUUGGUAGAGGUUGGUGGAACUGCGAGUGUAGAGGUAAAAUUCGUAGAUAUUAGCAAGAACACCAGUGGCGAAGGCGGCUAACUGGACCAAUACUGACGCUGAGGCGCGAAAGCGUGGGGAGCAAACAGGAUUAGAAACCCCCGUAGUCC
This 273-nucleotide ribosomal RNA is filed under the name uncultured Methylobacterium sp. RNAcentral describes it as "partial 16S ribosomal RNA". It matches the Rfam family "Bacterial small subunit ribosomal RNA", at positions 524 to 796 of the family's 1533-position model. The record is from RNAcentral. Lineage: Bacteria; Pseudomonadati; Pseudomonadota; Alphaproteobacteria; Hyphomicrobiales; Methylobacteriaceae.